ACCUCAUAGACCCCUCGAGGGCCGUCAAGUACCAGAUUAACAAUUGCUCCUUGAAUCAGAGGUUCCUGCAACUUACUCUUUCAUUUUUCAAUGCCCCUUGGCAAUCAUUAUUUCACCUGACCGUUUGAUCUCUCUUUUUUUUUCAACAGCUUGAGUAUAGGUUCACACGUGGCUGUUAGAGGAGAUGUGAACCAUGACAUGUAGUU
RNAcentral lists this long non-coding RNA (206 nucleotides) under Lathyrus oleraceus (garden pea). RNAcentral's name for it is "Pisum sativum (pea) long non-coding RNA (PSAT_LNC007799)". Lineage: Eukaryota; Viridiplantae; Streptophyta; Magnoliopsida; Fabales; Fabaceae. The record is from RNAcentral.